GCCUUCGUGGUGUAAUGGUCAGCACAUUCGACGCAUAUUCUAGAAGUCUGAGGUUCGAGUCCCGGCGAGGGCA
RNAcentral lists this transfer RNA (73 nucleotides) under Stegodyphus mimosarum. It matches the Rfam family "tRNA". From Rfam's summary of the family: Transfer RNA (tRNA) molecules are approximately 80 nucleotides in length. Their secondary structure includes four short double-helical elements and three loops (D, anti-codon, and T loops). Lineage: Eukaryota; Metazoa; Arthropoda; Arachnida; Araneae; Eresidae. The record is from Rfam by way of RNAcentral.